RNAcentral lists this ribosomal RNA (250 nucleotides) under uncultured prokaryote. RNAcentral describes it as "partial 16S rRNA". It matches the Rfam family "Bacterial small subunit ribosomal RNA", at positions 525 to 775 of the family's 1533-position model. The record is from RNAcentral.
ACGUAGGGGACGAGCGUUGUCCGGAUUUACUGGGCGUAAAGGGAGCGUAGGCGGUCAUUUAAGUCAGCUGUGAAAUGUAUUGGCUUAACCGGAACAUGCGGUUGAAACUGGUUGACUUGAGUGCUGGAGAGGCAAGUGGAAUUCCCAGUGUAGCGGUGAAAUGCGUAGAUAUUGGGAAGAACACCGGUGGCGAAGGCGACUUGCUGGCCUGCAACUGACGCUGAGGCGCGAAAGCGAGGGGAGCAAACGG